Molecule: ribosomal RNA, 573 nt
Filed under: uncultured bacterium
Lineage: Bacteria
Description: bacterial SSU rRNA
Rfam family: Bacterial small subunit ribosomal RNA
Source: RNAcentral
GAUGAACGCUGGCGAGAUGCUUUACACAUGCAAGUCGUACGAGAGUUUCAAACUCAAGUGGCGGACGGGUGAGUAACACGUAAGAAUUUACCUUUAGGAGGGGGACAACAGAGGGAAACAGCUGCUAAUACCCCAUAUGCUUUCGAGUGAAAUGGAUUAUUCCGCCUAGAGAGAAGCUUGCGGCUGAUUAGCUUGUUGGUGAGGUAAUGGCUUACCAAGGCGACGAUCAGUAUCUGGUUUGAGAGGACGAUCAGACACACUGGAACUGAGACGCGGUCCAGACUCCUACGGGAGGCAGCAGUGGGGAAUUUUCCGCAAUGGGCGAAAGCCUGACGGAGCAAUCUCGCGUGAGGGAUGACUGCCUAUGGGUUGUAAACCUCUUUUUUCAGGGAGGAAUCAAUGACGUGUACCCGAAGAAUAAGCAUCGGCUAACUCCGUGCCAGCAGCCGCGGUAAGACGGAGGAUGCAAGUGUUAUCCGGAAUCACUGGGCGUAAAGCGUCUGUAGGUGGUUUAAUUAGUCAACUGUUAAAUCUUGAAGCUCAACUUCAAAAUCGCAGUCGAAACUAUUAGAC